ACUCAAAGGAAUUGACGGGGGCCCGCACAAGCGGUGGAGCAUGUGGUUUAAUUCGUCACUAACCGAAGAACCUUACCCAGGCUUGACAUCGCGUGAAAGCCCUUGAAAGAGGGUCCUCCCUUCGGGGACACAAAGACAGGUGUUGCAUGGCUGUCGUCAGCUCGUGUCGUGAGAUGUUGGGUUAAGUCCCGCAACGAGCGCAACCCUCACCGGAUGUUGCCAGCGUCAAGUCGGGCACUCUUCCGGAACUGCCCGUGCAAGCGGGAGGAAGGUGGGGAUGACGUCAAGUCGGCAUGGCCCUUACGCCUGGGGCUACACACAUGCUACAAUGGACAUCAACAACGGGUUCCGAUCCCGCGAGGGGGAGGCAAUCUCGCAAAUAUGUCCUCAGUUCGGAUAGCAGGCUGCAACUCGCCUGCUUGAAGCCGGAAUCGCUAGUAACCGCCGGUCAGCUAAACGGCGGUGAAUACGUUCCCGGGCCUUGUACACACCGCCCGU
This 498-nucleotide ribosomal RNA is filed under the name uncultured bacterium. Its description in RNAcentral is "partial 16S ribosomal RNA". It matches the Rfam family "Bacterial small subunit ribosomal RNA", at positions 899 to 1397 of the family's 1533-position model. The record is from RNAcentral.